This 413-nucleotide ribosomal RNA is filed under the name uncultured Prevotella sp. RNAcentral's name for it is "bacterial SSU rRNA". It matches the Rfam family "Bacterial small subunit ribosomal RNA", at positions 28 to 429 of the family's 1533-position model. Lineage: Bacteria; Pseudomonadati; Bacteroidota; Bacteroidia; Bacteroidales; Prevotellaceae. The record is from RNAcentral.
GAUGAACGCUAGCUACAGGCUUAACACAUGCAAGUCGAGGGGAAACGACAUUUAGUGCUUGCACCGAAUGGACGUCGACCGGCGCACGGGUGAGUAACGCGUAUCCAACCUACCCAUUACUGUGGGAUAACCUGCCGAAAGGCAGACUAAUACCGCAUAGUCUUCGAUGACGGCAUCAGAUUUGAAGUAAAGAUUUAUCGGUAAUGGAUGGGGAUGCGUCUGAUUAGCUUGUUGGCGGGGUAACGGCCCACCAAGGCAACGAUCAGUAGGGGUUCUGAGAGGAAGGUCCCCCACAUUGGAACUGAGACACGGUCCAAACUCCUACGGGAGGCAGCAGUGAGGAAUAUUGGUCAAUGGGCGCGAGCCUGAACCAGCCAAGUAGCGUGCAGGAUGACGGCCCUAUGGGUUGUAAA